AGACAUGGUGAGACUCUGUCUCAAAAAUAAAAUUGAAAUGAUACACAGAUUAGCAUGACCCUUGCACAAAGAUGACAAAUUUGUGAAAUUUAAGUGUUCCAUAUAUUU
Small nuclear RNA from Nycticebus coucang (slow loris), 108 nucleotides. The record is from RefSeq and is a predicted model, not a curated record. NCBI's taxonomy places the organism in Eukaryota, Metazoa, Chordata, Mammalia, Primates, Lorisidae.